AGAGUUUGAUCCUGGCUCAGGAUGAACGCUGGCGGCGUGCUUAACACAUGCAAGUCGAACGGGAAUUACUUUAUUGAAACUUCGGUCGAUAUGAUUUAAUUCUAGUGGCGGACGGGUGAGUAACGCGUGGGUAACCUGCCUUGUACAGGGGGAUAACAGUCAGAAAUGACUGCUAAUACCGCAUAAGCGCACAGGACCGCAUGGUCCGGUGUGAAAAACUCCGGUGGUAUAAGAUGGACCCGCGUUGGAUUAGCUAGUUGGUGAGGUAACGGCCCACCAAGGCGACGAUCCAUAGCCGGCCUGAGAGGGUGAACGGCCACAUUGGGACUGAGACACGGCCCAAACUCCUACGGGAGGCAGCAGUGGGGAAUAUUGCACAAUGGGGGAAACCCUGAUGCAGCGACGCCGCGUGAGCGAUGAAGUAUUUCGGUAUGUAAAGCUCUAUCAGCAGGGAAGAAAAUGACGGUACCUGACUAAGAAGCCCCGGCUAACUACGUGCCAGCAGCCGCGGUAAUACGUAGGGGGCAAGCGUUAUCCGGAUUUACUGGGUGUAAAGGGAGCGUAGACGGAUGGACAAGUCUGAUGUGAAAGACUGGGGCUCAACCCCGGGACUGCAUUGGAAACUGCCCGUCUUGAGUGCCGGAGAGGUAAGCGGAAUUCCUAGUGUAGCGGUGAAAUGCGUAGAUAUUAGGAGGAACACCAGUGGCGAAGGCGGCUUACUGGACGGUAACUGACGUUGAGGCUCGAAAGCGUGGGGAGCAAACAGGAUUAGAUACCCUGGUAGUCCACGCGGUAAACGAUGA
RNAcentral lists this ribosomal RNA (803 nucleotides) under uncultured bacterium. RNAcentral's name for it is "bacterial SSU rRNA". It matches the Rfam family "Bacterial small subunit ribosomal RNA", at positions 8 to 812 of the family's 1533-position model. The record is from RNAcentral.